UACAGAGGUCUCAAGCGUUGUUCGGAUUCAUUGGGCGUAAAGGGUGCGUAGGCGGCGCGGUAAGUCGGGUGUGAAAUCUCGGAGCUUAACUCCGAAACUGCAUUCGAUACUGCCGUGCUUGAGUGCAGGAGAGGAACGCGGAAUUCCAGGUGUAGCGGUGAAAUGCGUAGAUAUCUGGAGGAACACCGGUGGCGGAGGCGGCGUUCUGGACUGUUACUGACACUGAGGAACGAAAGCCAGGGGAGCAAACGGG
This 253-nucleotide ribosomal RNA is filed under the name uncultured bacterium. Its description in RNAcentral is "partial 16S ribosomal RNA". It matches the Rfam family "Bacterial small subunit ribosomal RNA", at positions 524 to 776 of the family's 1533-position model. The record is from RNAcentral.